GGCGCACGGGUGCGUAACGCGUAUGCAAUCUACCUUUUACAGAGGGAUAGCCCAGAGAAAUUUGGAUUAAUACCUCAUAGCAUAGCAGCUUCGCAUGAAGCCACUAUUAAAGUCACAACGGUAAAAGAUGAGCAUGCGUCCCAUUAGCUAGUUGGUAAGGUAACGGCUUACCAAGGCUACGAUGGGUAGGGGUCCUGAGAGGGAGAUCCCCCACACUGGUACUGAGACACGGACCAGACUCCUACGGGAGGCAGCAGUGAGGAAUAUUGGACAAUGGGCGCAAGCCUGAUCCAGCCAUGCCGCGUGCAGGAUGACGGUCCUAUGGAUUGUAAACUGCUUUUAUACAGGAAGAAACACUCCGACGUGUCGGAGCUUGACGGUACUGUAAGAAUAAGGAUCGGCUAACUCCGUGCCAGCAGCCGCGGUAAUACGGAGGAUCCAAGCGUUAUCCGGAAUCAUUGGGUUUAAAGGGUCCGUAGGCGGUUUAAUAAGUCAGUGGUGAAAGCCCAUCGCUCAACGGUGGAACGGCCAUUGAUACUGUUAGACUUGAAUUAUUAGGAAGUAACUAGAAUAUGUAGUGUAGCGGUGAAAUGCUUAGAGAUUACAUGGAAUACCAAUUGCGAAGGCAGGUUACUACUAAUGGAUUGACGCUGAUGGACGAAAGCGUGGGUAGCGAACAGGAUUAGAUACCCUGGUAGUCCACGCCGUAAACGAUGGAUACUAGCUGUUGGAAGCAAUUUCAGUGGCUAAGCGAAAGUGAUAAGUAUCCCACCUGGG
RNAcentral lists this ribosomal RNA (777 nucleotides) under uncultured Sporocytophaga sp. RNAcentral describes it as "SSU rRNA". It matches the Rfam family "Bacterial small subunit ribosomal RNA", at positions 97 to 877 of the family's 1533-position model. The record is from RNAcentral. Lineage: Bacteria; Pseudomonadati; Bacteroidota; Cytophagia; Cytophagales; Cytophagaceae.